GACGAACGCUGGCGGCGUGCUUAACACAUGCAAGUCGAACGGUGAAGCGCCUUCCUUUUUGGUGGGUGUGGAUGAGUGGCGAACGGGUGAGUAACACGUGAGUAACCUGCCCCCUUCUUCUGGAUAACCGCAUGAAAGUGUGGCUAAUACGGGAUAUUCUGGGUCUGUCGCAUGAUGGGUCUGGGAAAGAUAUUGUUUCGGUGGGGGAUGGGCUCGCGGCCUAUCGGCUUGUUGGUGGGGUGGUGGCCUACCAAGGCGGUGACGGGUAGCCGGCCUGAGAGGGUGGACGGUCACACUGGGACUGAGACACGGCCCAGACUCCUACGGGAGGCAGCAGUGGGGAAUAUUGCACAAUGGGCGCAAGCCUGAUGCAGCGACGCCGCGUGAGGGAUGGAGGCCUGCGGGUUGCGAACCUCUUUCGCCAGUGAAGCAGGCCUGCCUCGUUUGUGGGUGGGUUGACGGUAGCUGGAUAAGAAGCGCCGGCUAACUACGUG
This 494-nucleotide ribosomal RNA is filed under the name uncultured bacterium. RNAcentral's name for it is "partial 16S ribosomal RNA". It matches the Rfam family "Bacterial small subunit ribosomal RNA", at positions 28 to 507 of the family's 1533-position model. The record is from RNAcentral.